AUGUGGUCAACUCAAUCAAUAUUCGCCACUUUAAAAAUAAAAUCUCUCGAAUUGAAGAUAGUCAUGCAUGGGGUGUUGGGUGAAUUAAGGUGGAAUGAAACUAAUGUGUGUUUUUAGCCUCAGCUAGCAUGCUAGCAGUGCCGCAGACCUGUUUGAGAUCAUCACUGUCUGCACCUUGCUCUCCAUCAUGGCGCCACAUGACUGUGAUCCGACUGAAACUUCUUCUAUUAGCUGUGAUGAAACAGAUGACGAGCAGAACCUGUGGCGUACUAAUAUUCAUGUAACUACAACAACUGUGUAAAAACUGUAACUGUAAUAGCUUUCUACAUGUUGAAUAGCCCGACAAGUUAAUCGAAUCUGUAUUAGCGGGAAAAAUUAGCUGAAAAACAUGAAAAGUCCCGGUUGCUACCAACCAGUCCUAACAGUGCUAACAGUGUGUCACCGCAUUAUUUACCUAUUUAUUCAUUUAAAUGUUAUCAUCCAUUUUAAUUUUACAUUUAUAAACCCCCAGCUGUCCUGUUGAGCUAUUAACAAAUAUAUUUAAUAUGCAUGUUGUCUUUUUUUAGUUGAACAAAAGAUUUAUUAGUCGCUUUUCCUCUUUUUUUUUUUUUUUACUGAAACUAAUUAUUUCCUCAACUGGAACACAUUUUAGAUAAUCAUCUAAUCUGUUUCCCUACAGGAAUUAUUAAUGUUUCAUACUUUAAUGUGUCGCCCUGUAUGAUGACUGAAGUCUGUCUGUUUUAUAUCCGUUUAUUUAGUGCAGGUUUACGAAUAAAUUUGUGUAGCUGAUGCGAUAACAAGCGUAUGAAGCUGAAUGUUCAAGCCUGUGAAGACUGUGUAUGUUGUUUAUGAUCUGAGGGCGCACAUUGAGGAUUAGAAAAGCGAGUUUUUAGAAAUCACGUCCAUUAGUAAACUUCUCUUUUGGUUAGAAAAAUCCUGUAGUUCAAGAUCCAAGUGAGAUAAACAUGACUUUUCCUGUCCUCGGUGUGUUUACAGGCCAUCUGUCCCUGAGCUGUAGCAGCUGUCAGUGUGUCUCGAUCCUUUAGCCUUUAAUUUAAGAACAAGUUGCCAAAUUUCUUACAGUAUAUGCUAAAUGAUGCUCUGGGUUUCAUUUUUGUAAGAUUUUCCUACUUCAGGUGCUCUGCUGUAAUGGUUUCCCUCGUGCAUUUCCUAAAUAAAUAUUACCAGUCUGUCUCUUCAUGCAGCCGCUUUCUCUCAGAGUAAAUGUCGGUUAAAGUAACCCUCUGAACCUCAACCAGUUUGAGUGUCUUUUUGCCUCUGUUACUAUUCACUGUGGGUUAAUUUUUCACUGCAAUAUAAAGUCCUGCACCUCUAUGGAAACAGCGCAACCAUGAAUAGCAGUAGUAAGGACUCAGAAAUGUCUUCUUUGCAGAACAACCCAUUUAGAAUAUCUUAAAUCGCAAAGGGAGGAAAAAACAAAACUAAAGUAGAACUUCUCUGACUAUUUAAGAAAAAUGUAAAAAACCUAGACUCAGUAUGCAUUUUUUCAAGGUAUAACAGACAAAAAUGCUGACUCUACUAAAUAUAUACACUACCGUUGAAAAGUUUGGGGUCACUUAGAAAUGUCCUUAUUUCUGAAAGAAGAGAAUGUUUUUUUUCCAAUGAAGAUAACAUUAAAUUAAUCAGAAAUGCAGUCUAGACAUUGCUAAAGUGGUAAAUGACUUUUAUAGCUGGAAACGGCUGAUUUUUAAUGGAAUAUCUACAUAGUAGUACAGAGGAACAUUUCCAGCAACCAUCACUCCUGUGUUCUAAUGCUACAUUGUGUUAGCUAAUGGUGUUGAAAAGCUAACUGAUGAUUAGAAAACCCUUAUUAUGUUAGCGCAUGAAUGAAAGUGAGUUUUCAUGGAAAAUUUGAAAUUUCCUGGGUGACCCCAAACUUUUGAACAGUAGUGUAUGUCACUAUUUGAAUUUCUAAUUUGCACAUCCUGCAGUUCAACCCUUUUUGGCAAAAAAAAGUCUCAAAAUUUUGGUCAUGACUGUUGAUUGCAGGUAAGUCAAUGAUGGCGUCUCUGUCGGACGUCUGCUCUAAGUAAACUAAGUAUGUAACCUUCAAACAGACGUUAAAACUAACACGUUUGCUCAUUUAAUUAUGUUAACUAUAAAUGAAAGCAUUAAGUCAAGUUUAACCUUUAAUUACAAAUACCUCAGCACACAGUGUACUGAUUAAUGAACUGAACUAAAAAUAAAAUAAAAUAGUGGUUUAAGAAAGCACAUUAAUAAUUUUUUAAAAAAAUCCAAAUGACACCAUUUAUUGGGCAAAAACUGUAGAAACAAAAGACACGGAUUUUCAGCUUCCCUUCGGUUAACUACUCAUAUGUGCCAUUCAGCUGGGAAACCAAAUCUAAGCCUUAUAUUGUGAUAUUUAUAUAGAAUUACUUUAUUCUACUUGUCAUGUUAAAAGAUUCACCCCCCCCCAAAAAAAAAAAAUCGUGCACAAAAAUUUCUGCACAACUACGCAGUUGAGGCCAAUAGUUACAUGCCAAACAUUCAAAGACUUUUCAGCUGAAAUGCAGGCUUUGUAUGCAUAGAGCAGAGAGAAAACAAGUAUGGAAACAAAUUAAAAAGUGAAAUAUUUGUAGUAGCAGAAAUGUUAGACACGAUGACUUCAGGUUUUUUAAAAAAAUUUUGCAAAAAAUUAUCAAGGAAAUUCAAAUUUAGUUUAUUGCAAUUUACAGCAUUGUAACUGUGUCAUACUGCACAGAAGACAUUUUUGAGUUCUGUCCUUCUAGCCAUGGUUGUGCUGUUUCUAUAGAGCAGCCCUAUUCAAUUAGCGGCCCGAAAGCAACCCUCGAGUGGCCCUAAAGCAACUGCCGAGUGAUUGGGACUUGGGUCCGAGAAAAACAGAAAAACAUCUUUCAGUAACACUGACAAGUUCUUACAAAAAUUCCAACAUUAUUGCAAACAUUGAAUGCAACAUUUACCGUAACCUAGCAACUAACCCACAAUGCAUUGUGUUGAGGAGUCGCGUUUGAAAAGUUAACAUUAGCAGUUCUAUACAGGUGAAAAUAGCAGCAUGUCUUUUUCUAUCCUGAAACGACAAAUCGGCGAGGAAAACCGUCGGUUUAAUCCUGCGUGGACUGACAAGUAUUUAUUUAUUUACCACCAAGUCCGAACGCCAAACCAAUGCGUUUACUCUGCAACGAGUGCUUUGCAGCGCUGAAAGAUUAUCAUGUCCGAAGACACCACGUUGGAAAAACAUGCCGCGUUUCGGACAAACUUUCCCGAGGGAUGUCAUGAGAGAGCGGCUAUAAUUCAGAGUUUGACUGCAUCUUACAACCAGAGCUGUACUACAAUGAAGCGGACCUGUCCUGUCUGCACUGUUCCCUCUAAACUGCGCGCGUGCGCAAUUGCGCACUGCUGACACGGUCUCCGCGCACAGAAAAUCUGCGCUGCGCACAAAAAGAAAAAAAAAUCCAACCUAAAUUGUAAAUAAAAUAAACACGUAACAAUUCAUUCUGUGCUAUUUUUCAGUGUGAGUCAGUGAGUGACCGGUGACUGGCUGCUGCAGCCAAUGAUGCGAUUCACAUACGUAUUUACCAUAGACUGUAUAUAAUGGUAUUUACGCAGCUAAUCAACGUCAGGCGUCCUUAUGUGCAGCCACCUGUUCUCAUAGAUAUGAAUGAGUAGAUAGGACACGCCCCUUUGAGCUGCGUGCUACAGCAAGGCUAAGCUAGUGGGGGCAAAGUUUCAGUGCAUUCCGUUGAUGUAGACGGCGUAAAAACGGAAACAAGAAGUAUGCCGGCUCACUGUGCUGCAUACAGUUACACACUGCGUCGUACGAUUGAGACAAGGAAACUUGGAAUGACUUUUCAUAGGUUUCCCAGAGACUAUGGGUUGAGGAGGAAUUGGAAGUUUGUCGGCUUAGACCUGGUGUCAUUCCAUCAGUGUUUAACUUCCCGGCUCAUCUUGGAAGAGUACGUGCCAGAAAGACCACGACCAAGCAGCCUUGAGAUCUUAGACAGCGUCUCCCUGAGGUCCCUCUCUGUCUCCUCACACAUCCACCAACCACUGGAACACAUCUCCAAAGUUCUGCCGGGCCAGCUCAGCUUCCCCUCAGAAGAAGUGCUGCCACCUGCCAGAUGAAGGAGCCUUUUGGCAUGCCAGGAGCCCUGGCAUCGUGAUUGGACUGUACUUUGGUCUGUUCCAGUCCAGCUUCAGUUCCAGAGACGGCAGGCGGGACGAGUCAACGGAGGCCUGGUGGACGAAGGCAUGCAGCUGAGUACAAUCCAGAAAACAACAGAGGAGGAGUGCAGCAGCCCAGAGCCAGAACAAGCACAGUAGCAUCGUAUGUCUCUUAGAAAACAUCAUAGUAUAGCCUUUGGUAUGAAAAAACGCCAUCAUAUACAUCGUAUAUUGUACAAAUAACAAGUCAAAGGAAAGAGACAUACAUUGUAGAUUUGUAGUAAUUGUGGGCUGACUGAUUUACUGAUUAUCAGUAUUUUAUUUUUUUACUGAUUUACGGUAAUAAAUACAUUUAAAAAUGGCACUACUUUGGCUCUGAACCUUUAUCUACCUGUGGUCGCUCUGUCUUCUGGAGCGAUUUGAUUGGUUAUACGUAACGAAUAAAACUCCUUUAACUUAACAUCUGUAAACAAAACAAAAACGUAUCAACAAAGUUUUCUGUUAGAGUUUGUGUUCUUCUAAGUUUAACUCCAAGAUUUUAAAUACUUUCAUUUACUGCAAAUGAAUAUCUACUCCAAAUGUCUCACUAACAAUCAUUAUCAGCCUUAAAAACCCACAAAACACCCCUUUAUACUUGACGACACUUAGUACAGUCCGGUUCCCCCUUCUAUAAAUCUGCUUGGAAUCUUCCACUUCCUGUUUGUCAAAGUGGCCUUCUACCUGGACAGGUUUUGUUGGAGCUCAUGCAACAAACAUUUUGGGUAACUGCACUUUAAUAUGGAUGGAUGACACUGAAUUAGAGUCUGUUUUAAUGAGACUGAGUUAAGAUGUGUAGCUCUGUCAUUAAAUAGGAAAUUAUUUCUCAGAAUUCACAGAGAAAAGUCUGAAAUGUUUGCUAGGUUAGCGUCCCACAUGUUCUUUGGCUCAGCUAAAGCUAACUCUCUCCAACUUCUGGAUCUCUUGAGUUGCUUGUUGUUAAAAUAUCUUGCUAGAGGUGCUGAAGCUCAGAAAGUCUGAGAUGUUUGUUCAAAAUAAGCUCAUUCUCAAGUCUUAUCUGAACUGUCCUCUUUUGUUUGAACUUUCCCUAAACUUAGGAGUUAAUGACAGAGCAGCACAUCCAGACUCAGUCUCAUUUAUGUAGAGAUUAAACUUCAGUGUCAUUCAUUGAUGUUAAAGUGCAGUUUUUCAAAUGUUUGUUGCACAUGCUCCCGACCAAACCAGUCCAGGUGGAAGACGAUGUGAAGAGAAAGCUCCAGAGGAUGAAUAUCACACAUUUACGUUGGAAAUAAAUGUCCUUUAAUUAGACAUUGUCAUGCAAAAGUUGGAUUUCCCUUUAAUGAUGUUCAAAUCUUUGUUGAGUGCUUUGUUGAUGUUGGUUUCUAAAUAUUUUCUGACACUCGGCCCCGAAGAUUAAAACCUUUUACGGCUCACAAUCUGCAACAAUUCACACAUUAUCAACUAUCUUUCUGACUAAACUAAGAUAAAAAGUGAAAAACUGCCUGAUUCCUGCAUCAUGAAUGUAAAUCUUUUUGUUUUUUAUGACAGUAAACUGAAUAUAUUUGGGUUUGACAUUUUAUAAACCAAAACAAGAAAUGAAUUACUGGAGAAAACAAUCAUCAGAUUAAUGGACAAAGAAAAUGUGUUUUCCAACAUGUAUGGCUGA
Amphiprion ocellaris (clown anemonefish) is the source of this 5806-nucleotide long non-coding RNA. RefSeq lists it as uncharacterized. NCBI's taxonomy places the organism in Eukaryota, Metazoa, Chordata, Actinopteri, Pomacentridae. The record is from RefSeq and is a predicted model, not a curated record. The transcript has 3 exons.